UGGAGAGUGGGACAACCGUUGGAAACGGCGGCUAAUACCACAUAAGCUCGCGGACUGUAGAAGUUUGCGAGAAAAGCUGAGGCGCUCUGGGAUGGGGCUGCGGCCCAUCAGGUAGUUGGUGAGGUAAAAGCUCACCAAGCCGACGACGGGUAGGGGACCUGAGAGGGUGACCCCCCACACUGGGACUGAGACACGGCCCAGACUCCUGCGGGAGGCAGCAGUGAGGAAUCUUGCACAAUGGGCGAAAGCCUGAUGCAGCGACGCCGCGUGAGCGAAGAAGGGUUUCGGCUCGUAAAGCUCUUUUCUGUGUGACGAGAAUGGACGGUAGCACAGGAAUAAGUCUCGGCUAACUACGUGCCAGCAGCCGCGGUAAAACGUAGGAGGCAAACGUUAUCCGGAGUUACUGGGCGUAAAGCGCGCGCAGGCGGGUCGUUAAGUCUGCCAUGAAAGCUCCCGGCUAAACCGGGAGAGGCUGGUGGAGACUGGCGAUCUGGAGUAGAAGAGAGGGAUGUGGAAUUCCGCAUGUAGUGGUGAAAUGCGUAGAGAUGCGGAGGAACACCAGAGGCGAAGGCGACAUCCUGGCUUCUAACUGACGCUGAGGCGCGAAAGCAUGGGUAGCGAACGGGAUUAGAAACCCCGGUAGUCCAUGCUGUAAACGAUGUUCACUAAGCGUCCGUAUGUUACGGCAUAUGGGUGCUGAAGCUAACGCGAUAAGUGAACCGCCUGGGGAGUACGGUCGCAAGGCUAAAACUCAAAGGAAUUGACGGGGGCCCGCACAAGCAGCGGAGCGUGUGGUUUAAUUCGAGUCUACGCGAAGAACCUUACCCGGGUUUGACAUCCUCUGACAGGCUACGAAAGUAGUUUUCUCUUCGGAGCAGAGUGACAGGUGCUGCAUGGCUGUCGUCAGCUCGUGCCGUGAGGUGUUCGGUUAAGUCCGCAAACGAGCGCAACCCUCGUGAUCAGUUACAAGUGUCUGAUCAGACUGCCCGUAUCAAACGGGAGGAAGGUGGGGAUGACGUCAAGUCAGCAUGGCCUUUAUAUCCGGGGCUACACACACGCUACAAUGGUACAUACAAUGGGCAGCGAAGGGGCGACCUGGGGCCAAUCCUAAAAAGUGUAUCACAGUUCGGAUUGCAGGCUGCAACUCGCCUGCAUGAAGUCGGAGUUGCUAGUAACCGCGUAUCAGCACGGCGCGGUGAAUACGUUCCCGGGCCUUGUACACACCGCCCGUCACGUCAUGGGAGCUGGUUACGCCUGAAGUCGGGAAGCGAACCGCAAGGACGCUACUGCCGAGGGCAGAGCUGGUGACUGGGACGAAGUCGUAACAAGGUA
Molecule: ribosomal RNA, 1332 nt
Filed under: metagenome
Description: bacterial SSU rRNA
Rfam family: Bacterial small subunit ribosomal RNA
Source: RNAcentral